Molecule: ribosomal RNA, 464 nt
Filed under: Vreelandella stevensii
Lineage: Bacteria; Pseudomonadati; Pseudomonadota; Gammaproteobacteria; Oceanospirillales; Halomonadaceae
Description: partial 16S ribosomal RNA
Rfam family: Bacterial small subunit ribosomal RNA
Source: RNAcentral
CCUACGGGCGGCUGCAGUGGGGAAUAUUGGACAAUGGGCGAAAGCCUGAUCCAGCCAUGCCGCGUGUGUGAAGAAGGCCUUCGGGUUGUAAAGCACUUUCAGUGGGGAAGAAAGCCUUGGGGCUAAUACCCUCGAGGAAGGACAUCACCCACAGAAGAAGCACCGGCUAACUCCGUGCCAGCAGCCGCGGUAAUACGGAGGGUGCGAGCGUUAAUCGGAAUUACUGGGCGUAAAGCGCGCGUAGGCGGUCUGAUAAGCCGGUUGUGAAAGCCCCGGGCUCAACCUGGGAACGGCAUCCGGAACUGUCAGGCUAGAGUGCAGGAGAGGAAGGUAGAAUUCCCGGUGUAGCGGUGAAAUGCGUAGAGAUCGGGAGGAAUACCAGUGGCGAAGGCGGCCUUCUGGACUGACACUGACGCUGAGGUGCGAAAGCGUGGGUAGCAAACAGGAUUAGAUACCCGAGUAUC